GGAUGAGGUUUCAAAUUGGUCUCCAUUACAAUGAGACAAGUUUCCAUCUUCUUGCUCUUCAUUGUUGCCAUCUUCAUCAUUCAACUGCUUUUCGUAACCGCAGAUCAAAGUGGGGAAUUCAGGACUGAACGAUAUGAUCCAAGAACGCCACCAACACCACAAGGAAACAUAGAGCGUGGCAUGUUUCCACCUGAAUCGAGCUCACCACCACCGGUUUACAACUAAGUUCGUGUUCACGUAUUUCAAAACUCAUGCAACCACCUUAAUUCGCUUUUCAUUAUUCGUUUUAAAUGUAAAAAGAACAGAAAACAUGGUUGUUGGGAAGGGUGCUACAACUGCUUAAUUACACCCACCUUGUAACAUCCCUAAAAAAUAGCUGGACUAAAACGAACUUUUGGUUCUCUUCAUCCGUUAAUAAAAUUUAAACAGAACUCGGUAACGUUUAUGCCA
Molecule: long non-coding RNA, 450 nt
Organism: Cynara cardunculus var. scolymus (artichoke)
Lineage: Eukaryota; Viridiplantae; Streptophyta; Magnoliopsida; Asterales; Asteraceae
Exons: 2
Source: RefSeq, a predicted model, not a curated record